GCAUGGGUUUCCGGUUAGUGUUUGUGCGCUGCCGUAAGGGCGACGUUUAGACUGGUGUGGGCAAGUGUCUAGUGUCAGUUUGGACCAACGUAAGCGGAGGUAUUUGCGAGGCUUGUGGGCCAAAGGUAGGAGAUGAAUAAUUUUGGGUGUCGCUAUCUGUUGUAAAGCAGCCUAUUAAUUCCUGCAUGCUUCGUAGGUAUCGAGGACGGGCGGUUGGAGUGGUGUGUGGGGAGAGUGAAUCUGGUCUCCGGAUUGGGCUGUGCUGCCCUGCCGCUGUACCUCGUGGCUUUACCCUGCUGCUUGACGGAUGCCCUGCUCUGCUGGGUAGCUGCUGUCCUGUUCUGCUGUGUAGCUGCUGUCCUGUUCUGUUGUGUAGCUGCUGUUUGGUGGCUAUUUGGUCUUGUUUUCUGUUACGUUUUGUCUGGUUGCUUCGCUCCUACCGUCUUGCUAUUGUUCCGCCCUGCUGCUUUGCCUUGGUUUGUCUUAUACUUUUCAUUUGGUCCAGGGGUUUUAUUUGAUAUUUGUGGGUUUUUUUAUGUUUGGGUUAUUUUAUGGAUGUAUUUUGGGAUAAUUAAGGAUUGUUUCUUGGUUUUGUUUGAUGUAUAAAUUUAUGGAGUUUGUUUGUGUUUGUUUGGAUGUUUUUUCUGCUUUGAUUCGGAUUGUUUUCUGUGGUUCUGGGCUGGGGGUGGCCGUAUACGCUGUGGGGCGGAAGCCUUGGGUAUAAGAGGCCGCUCGGGUUUGUGUGUGAUUCAUGCGGUGUGGGUUUUGUUUUAGGUUUGGGGUAAUGUCGUGAUUUGUUAGUGCUAGCGGCCGGGUAGUACCUUUGAACGCGUGGUUGUGUCCCCUUCUAGCGCAUAUUGCCUCCCUGCCUGGGGGAUUUACGAGGAAUCAAGACUCCGCAGCGUGUUUUAUCUGUGUUACGUUUAUUCCUGUAUUGUUAAGGUUGUUUUAUCUUUGCUGUGGUGUGAAUAAAAGUGUGUGUUUUUA
This is a non-coding RNA of Paramormyrops kingsleyae, 987 nucleotides long. NCBI's taxonomy places the organism in Eukaryota, Metazoa, Chordata, Actinopteri, Osteoglossiformes, Mormyridae. The record is from RefSeq and is a predicted model, not a curated record.